GCCAAGCCUUGUGGUGGGUGCCUGAGCAGGGAGGCCCACACCCAGGUACAUGUCUUCAGGCAAGAGCUUUUCCAAGAAGCCAAGGAAUUCCUCUACAGAUUCUUGCCACAGAAAAUCAUAUACCCACAUAGGCCUUGCAAAAGGAUUCCCUCAUUGUAGCUGCCUGACCUCCCUCCGGGCCCCACUGGACAUCCCCAUCCCAGAACCCCCACCCAAGGAUGAGGUAGAAACAGAGAGGCAAGAGAAGAAAGAAGUCCUUGAGUGUGGAUUUCUCCCUGGGAAUGAGAAGGUCCUGUCGCUGCUUGCCAUGGUUAAGCCAGAAGUCUGGAUUCUCAAAGAGAAAUGCAUUCUGGUGAUCACAUGGAUCCAGCACCUGAUCCCCAAGACUGAGGAUGCAAAUGAUUUGGGGUAGCAAUCCAGGAGAAGGUGCUGGAGAGGGUGAAUGCAGUUAAGACCAAAGUGCAAGCCGUCCAGACAACCAUUUCCAAAUACUUCUCAGAACACGGGGAUGCUGUGGCCAAGGCCUCCAAGGAGACCCAUGUAAUGGAUUACCAGGCGUUGGUGCAAAAGUGAGAUAAGACAGCCUAUGGGGAGGUCAAGGCCAGGGUACUGGACCUGAAGGCCUUCUGUGCUGAGCUUUAUCAUAUCAUCAGCACCAACCUGGAGAAAACCGCAACCCAAAAGGUGAAGAGAAACCAUCUGUGUACUGA
This 710-nucleotide long non-coding RNA is filed under the name Homo sapiens (human). RNAcentral's name for it is "non-protein coding lnc-RELL1-3:1". Lineage: Eukaryota; Metazoa; Chordata; Mammalia; Primates; Hominidae. The record is from RNAcentral.